CAGUCGCCGCGGGAAUACAGAGGGUGCGAGCGUUAAUCGGAUUUACUGGGCGUAAAGCGUGCGUAGGCGGCUUCUUAAGUCGGAUGUGAAAUCCCUGAGCUUAACUUAGGAAUUGCAUUCGAUACUGGUAAGCUAGAGUAUGGGAGAGGAUGGUAGAAUUCCAGGUGUAGCGGUGAAAUGCGUAGAGAUCUGGAGGAAUACCGAUGGCGAAGGCAGCCAUCUGGCCUAAUACUGACGCUGAGGUACGAAAGCAUGGGGAGCAAACAGGAUUAGAUACCCGCGUAGUCCCUGUCUCUUAUAC
This 301-nucleotide ribosomal RNA is filed under the name uncultured bacterium. RNAcentral's name for it is "partial 16S ribosomal RNA". It matches the Rfam family "Bacterial small subunit ribosomal RNA", at positions 509 to 807 of the family's 1533-position model. The record is from RNAcentral.